GAUCCUGGCUCAGGAUGAACGCUGGCGGCGUGCUUAACACAUGCAAGUCGAACGAAGCAAUCUAACGGAAGUUUUCGGAUGGAAGCCAGAUUGACUGAGUGGCGGACGGGUGAGUAACGCGUGGGUAACCUGCCUCACACUGGGGGACAACAGUUAGAAAUGACUGCUAAUACCGCAUAAGCGCACAGGACCGCAUGGUCUAGUGUGAAAAACUCCGGUGGUGUGAGAUGGACCCGCG
RNAcentral lists this ribosomal RNA (238 nucleotides) under uncultured bacterium. RNAcentral describes it as "partial 16S ribosomal RNA". It matches the Rfam family "Bacterial small subunit ribosomal RNA", at positions 15 to 235 of the family's 1533-position model. The record is from RNAcentral.